UGGGGAAUAUUGCACAAUGGGCGCAAGCCUGAUGCAGCCAUGCCGCGUGUAUGAAGAAGGCCUUCGGGUUGUAAAGUACUUUCAGUCGGGAGGAAGGUGGUAAGGUUAAUAACCUUGGCGAUUGACGUUACCCGCAGAAGAAGCACCGGCUAACUCCGUGCCAGCAGCCGCGGUAAUACGGAGGGUGCAAGCGUUAAUCGGAGUUACUGGGCGUAAAGCGCACGCAGGCGGUCUGUCAAGUCGGAUGUGAAAUCCCCGGGCUCGACCUGGGAACUGCAUUCGAAACUGGCAGGCUAGAGUCUUGUAGAGGGGGGUAGAAUUCCAGGUGUAGCGGUGAAAUGCGUAGAGAUCUGGAGGAAUACCGGUGGCGAAGGCGGCCCCCUGGACAAAGACUGACGCUCAGGUGCGAAAGCGUGGGGAGCAAACAGG
Molecule: ribosomal RNA, 429 nt
Filed under: Chloroflexota bacterium
Lineage: Bacteria; Bacillati; Chloroflexota
Description: Chloroflexi bacterium partial 16S ribosomal RNA
Rfam family: Bacterial small subunit ribosomal RNA
Source: RNAcentral